This 484-nucleotide ribosomal RNA is filed under the name uncultured bacterium. RNAcentral describes it as "partial 16S ribosomal RNA". It matches the Rfam family "Bacterial small subunit ribosomal RNA", at positions 28 to 523 of the family's 1533-position model. The record is from RNAcentral.
GACGAACGCUGGCGGCGUGCUUAACACAUGCAAGUCAAACGGAAAGGCCCUGCUUUUGUGGGGUGCUCGAGUGGCGAACGGGUGAGUAACACGUGAGUAACCUGCCCUUGACUUUGGGAUAACUUCAGGAAACUGGGGCUAAUACCGGAUAGGAGCUCCUGCUGCAUGGUGGGGGGUGGAAAGUUUCGGCGGUUGGGGAUGGACUCGCGGCUUAUCAGCUUGUUGGUGGGGUAGUGGCUUACCAAGGCUUUGACGGGUAGCCGGCCUGAGAGGGUGACCGGCCACAUUGGGACUGAGAUGCGGCCCAGACUCAUACGGGAGGCAGCAGUGGGGAAUAUUGCACAAUGGGCGGAAGCCUGAUGCAGCAACGCCGCGUGCGGGAUGACGGCCUUCGGGUUGUAAACCGCUUUCGCCUGUGACGAAGCGUGAGUGACGGUAAUGGGUAAAGAAGCACCGGCUAACUACGUGCCAGCAGCCGCCGUAA